Molecule: ribosomal RNA, 154 nt
Filed under: Phycisphaerae bacterium
Lineage: Bacteria; Pseudomonadati; Planctomycetota; Phycisphaerae
Description: partial 23S ribosomal RNA
Rfam family: Bacterial large subunit ribosomal RNA
Source: RNAcentral
CGCUGAAAGCAUCUAAGUGUGAAACCUUCUUCAAGAUAAGGUCUCGAUCCCGCAAGGGUGAAGUCCCGUGGAAGACUACCACGUUGAUAGGCUGGAGGUGUAAGAGCAGAGAUGUUCUGAGCUGACCAGUACUAACGGACAAACGCUUGACCAC